ACAAUGAUACUUCCGUUCAGCCACAGCCCGAGCGUUAAAAGCGUCGCAGGCAAUGGGAGCGGCUCGCGGAGAACCCGGGAGAGGUGAAAUUCCUAUGC
This 98-nucleotide non-coding RNA is filed under the name unclassified sequences. The record is from Rfam.